This 400-nucleotide ribosomal RNA is filed under the name uncultured bacterium. RNAcentral's name for it is "bacterial SSU rRNA". It matches the Rfam family "Bacterial small subunit ribosomal RNA", at positions 356 to 773 of the family's 1533-position model. The record is from RNAcentral.
GGGGAAUAUUGGACAAUGGGCGCAAGCCUGAUCCAGCCAUACCGCGUGAGUGAUGAAGGCCUUAGGGUUGUAAAGCUCUUUCAGUAGGGAAGAUAAUGACGGUACCUACAGAAGAAGCCCCGGCUAACUUCGUGCCAGCAGCCGCGGUAAUACGAAGGGGGCUAGCGUUGUUCGGAUUUACUGGGCGUAAAGCGCACGUAGGCGGAUUGGUCAGUUAGGGGUGAAAUCCCAGAGCUCAACUCUGGAACUGCCUUUAAUACUGCCAGUCUCGAGUCCGGAAGAGGUAAGUGGAACUCCUAGUGUAGAGGUGGAAUUCGUAGAUAUUAGGAAGAACACCAGUGGCGAAGGCGGCUUACUGGUCCGGUACUGACGCUGAGGUGCGAAAGCGUGGGGAGCAAAC